GGCCCCUAGAGCGGCGGACGGGUGAGUAACACGUGGACAAUCUGCCCCCCGGUCCGGGAUAGCCCAGGGAAACCUGGAUUAAUACCGGAUGAGACGGGACCCGCGGAGGCGGGAUCCGGGAAAGGCGCUGCGGCGCCGCCGGGGGAUGAGUCUGCGUCCCAUUAGCUAGACGGCGGGGUAACGGCCCACCGUGGCGACGAUGGGUAGCCGGCCUGAGAGGGUGGACGGCCACAUUGGAACUGAGACACGGUCCAGACUCCUACGGGAGGCAGCAGCUAAGAAUCUUCCGCAAUGGGCGAAAGCCUGACGGAGCGACGCCGCGUGAACGAAGAAGGCCGUGAGGUUGUAAAGUUCUUUUCGGGAGGGGGAACAACCGUGGCAGGGAAUGGCCGCGGGAUGACGUGAAUCCCGGAAUAAGCCCCGGCUAACUACGUGCCAGCAGCCGCGGUAACACGUAGGGGGCGAGCGUUGUUCGGAAUCAUUGGGCGUAAAGGGCGUGCAGGCGGUCCUGCAAGUCCGGCGUGAAAGACCCCGGCCCAACCGGGGGGACGCGCUGGAAACUG
Molecule: ribosomal RNA, 563 nt
Filed under: uncultured bacterium
Lineage: Bacteria
Description: bacterial SSU rRNA
Rfam family: Bacterial small subunit ribosomal RNA
Source: RNAcentral